Molecule: ribosomal RNA, 642 nt
Filed under: Triticum aestivum (bread wheat)
Lineage: Eukaryota; Viridiplantae; Streptophyta; Magnoliopsida; Poales; Poaceae
Description: partial small subunit ribosomal RNA
Source: RNAcentral
AUGUCGGCACCAGCAGCUCCGCCACCGCCGACGAUGUCGGCAUCCAAUCCCAUCUCCCCACGCUCCAGCAACCCUCUCCCCUCCACAACCUCCGCCACAACUCCUCUCGAGCUGCCCGGCGUGACCUCCGCCGCGGCCGCACGGAACCCUAGGAUCCACCACACCAGCGGUGUACUCCACCUCCACCGCUCCUCCUCCACCUUCCCCGCUUCAUGCUAUGCCUCCGCUGUCGCCGCCACCGCCACCCUCUUCCUCCUCCUCCGGGCCCGCCGCCCCACCGAUCCCCUGCAUCUCUCUACUCCAGGUAACGAUCCCGCCUCGAUUUCUCACCAAUUUGCUCUUUUCCGCGUGCCGCGCCUCCUGGUGCUCGCCGUUCCAACCCGGGUCACGCCGGACGACUUCGUCCGUUUCUGCGGCCCCUACGUCGAGCACGCCUCUGAGAUCCGUGUCAUCAGCGAUGAUGGGGUGGAGGACCGGUAUGUGCUUGUUGAGUUUGAGGAUCAGAAGAGUGCCGAUGGAUUCUACCUGGACCUCAAUGGCUGGAGGUUCUCGUCCUCAGAGGUAGAGGUGUGCCAUGAUCUGUUUAUAGUUGCUGUGCAACACACAUCAUCCACUGAGCUUCUUACAACCUCUGAGGCAUAG